Molecule: ribosomal RNA, 495 nt
Filed under: uncultured bacterium
Lineage: Bacteria
Description: partial 16S ribosomal RNA
Rfam family: Bacterial small subunit ribosomal RNA
Source: RNAcentral
GACGAACGCUGGCGGCGUGCCUAAUACAUGCAAGUAGAACGCUGAAGGAGGAGCUUGCUUCUCUGGAUGAGUUGCGAACGGGUGAGUAACGCGUAGGUAACCUGCCUGGUAGCGGGGGAUAACUAUUGGAAACGAUAGCUAAUACCGCAUAAUAGUAGAUGUUGCAUGACAUUUGCUUAAAAGGUGCAAUUGCAUCACUACCAGAUGGACCUGCGUUGUAUUAGCUAGUUGGUGAGGUAACGGCUCACCAAGGCAACGAUACAUAGCCGACCUGAGAGGGUGAUCGGCCACACUGGGACUGAGACACGGCCCAGACGCCUACGGGAGGCAGCAGUAGGGAAUCUUCGGCAAUGGACGGAAGUCUGACCGAGCAACGCCGCGUGAGUGAAGAAGGUUUUCGGAUCGUAAAGCUCUGUUGUAAGAGAAGAACGAGUGUGAGAGUGGAAAGUUCACACUGUGACGGUAUCUUACCAGAAAGGGACGGCUAACUACGUG